AGAGUUUGAUCAUGGCUCAGAUUGAACGCUGGCGGCAGGCUUAACACAUGCAAGUCGAACGGUAACAGGAGAAAGCUUGCUUUCUUGCUGACGAGUGGCGGACGGGUGAGUAAUGCUUGGGAAUCUGGCUUAUGGAGGGGGAUAACUACGGGAAACUGUAGCUAAUACCGCGUAAUAUCUUUGGAUUAAAGGGUAGGACUUUCGGGCCACCUGCCAUAAGAUGAGCCCAAGUGGGAUUAGGUAGUUGGUGGGGUAAAGGCCUACCAAGCCGACGAUCUCUAGCUGGUCUGAGAGGAUGACCAGCCACACUGGAACUGAGACACGGUCCAGACUCCUACGGGAGGCAGCAGUGGGGAAUAUUGCACAAUGGGGGGAACCCUGAUGCAGCCAUGCCGCGUGAAUGAAGAAGGCCCUCGGGUUGUAAAGUUCUUUCGGUGAUGAGGAAGGUGUUUGUUUUAAUAGAACAAGCAAUUGACGUUAGUCACAGAAGAAGCACCGGCUAACUCCGUGCCAGCAGCCGCGGUAAUACGGAGGGUGCGAGCGUUAAUCGGAAUGACUGGGCGUAAAGGGCACGCAGGCGGUGACUUAAGUGAGAUGUGAAAGCCCCGAGCUUAACUUGGGAAUUGCAUUUCAUACUGGGUUGCUAGAGUAUUUUAGGGAGGGGUAGAAUUCCACGUGUAGCGGUGAAAUGCGUAGAGAUGUGGAGGAAUACCGAAGGCGAAGGCAGCCCCUUGGGAAUAUACUGACGCUCAUGUGCGAAAGCGUGGGGAGCAAACAGGAUUAGAUACCCUGGUAGUCCACGCUGUAAACGCUGUCGAUUUGGGGAUUGGGCUUAGAGCUUGGUGCCCGUAGCUAACGUGAUAAA
RNAcentral lists this ribosomal RNA (865 nucleotides) under uncultured bacterium. RNAcentral describes it as "bacterial SSU rRNA". It matches the Rfam family "Bacterial small subunit ribosomal RNA", at positions 8 to 864 of the family's 1533-position model. The record is from RNAcentral.